UUUUAUGACAGGCUGUUGGUUUUAAGAAUGGGUCUUUAAAAAUAGCCAGUUUCACUAUGGGGAAAAAAAAGUCAAUUUCAGUGAACAGUUAAUGAACCUGUGCUAUUCCCUCAAUUCUUCAUACCCUUUUCUUUCUAUAGUUUGAUUACCUUAACCUUUUAUAUAGUGGAAGUAACCGUUAUAGUUCUAGCAAAUUUCUUUCUGUGCUGUUU
RNAcentral lists this long non-coding RNA (212 nucleotides) under Bos taurus (domestic cattle). RNAcentral describes it as "long non-coding RNA NONBTAT011901". Lineage: Eukaryota; Metazoa; Chordata; Mammalia; Artiodactyla; Bovidae. The record is from RNAcentral.